This is a long non-coding RNA of Molossus molossus (Pallas's mastiff bat), 639 nucleotides long. RefSeq lists it as uncharacterized. The transcript is spliced from 5 exons. The record is from RefSeq and is a predicted model, not a curated record. NCBI's taxonomy places the organism in Eukaryota, Metazoa, Chordata, Mammalia, Chiroptera, Molossidae.
CCUACGCUCUCCCCAAGCUGGAGGGAACCGGGCUCCUGCCUGCGAAAUGGAAAUCGCUUUGCGUGUCUUCUGUGUUUCCCCAACAGAAAAGUGAAUGAAUGUGUAUCAGGAGUACUAGUGCUUCCCCAAGAAGUUCGUUGGACCAAGGGCUGCCCAAGCCAUGACCUGAGAAGGGAAGCAGCAAGGCUGGGAUUUUUCUACAAGUUUUCCUCUUCCUAUAUGCAAUGUGUUCAUCAGAACCUGCUGCUCACAGAUUCCCAGUGAGAUGCAAGAAGCUUGUAACAGAAACCUGUGUACCUGAAGACAGUGGAAAACAAACAGAUGAGGCAACUUCAUGUAUCAAAAAUGAAGGAAAAGCUGAAUAAAAACGGUAAUUCAUGCCAGCCAGCCCUAUUUUAUGAAGAAUUGACAGAAUAAUCAUCCACAAAUUGAACAUUUUCCAUGAUAAAGGUCAAAUUUCUUUUUGAGAACAUUAGCUUCUUCUUACUAGAAAACACCAACUGAGAUCAUCAAAUGCUUACCAACAUCUAAAGGUGCCAUGAGUCUUCAAAUGUUUUAUACUUAUGUUACAUUUGCAUGGCACUAAAUAGGUCACAGAGAAUUUUCCCCAUCUAAUCAACUCUUCUGCAUAAUCCUGUG